Molecule: ribosomal RNA, 487 nt
Filed under: uncultured bacterium
Lineage: Bacteria
Description: bacterial SSU rRNA
Rfam family: Bacterial small subunit ribosomal RNA
Source: RNAcentral
AUUGAACGCUGGCGGCAUGCUUUACACAUGCAAGUCGAACGGCAGCACGGGCUUCGGCCUGGUGGCGAGUGGCGAACGGGUGAGUAAUGCAUCGGAACGUGCCCAUUUGUGGGGGAUAACUACGCGAAAGCGUGGCUAAUACCGCAUACGCCCUGAGGGGGAAAGCGGGGGAGUUCUUCGGAACCUCGCGCAAUUGGAGCGGCCGAUGUCAGAUUAGCUUGUUGGUGAGGUAAAGGCUCACCAAGGCGAAGAUGGUUAGGGGUUUUGAGAGAGAGACCCCCACCAUUGGAACUGAGAGACGGUCCAGACUCCUACGGGAGGCAGCAGUAGGGAAUAUUGGGCAAUGGGCGAAAGCCUGACCCAGCCAUGCCGCGUGAAGGAAGACGGCCUUCGGGUUGUAAAGCUCUUUCGGUGGGGAAGAAAUUGCACGGGCGAAUAACCUGUGUAGAUGACGGUACCCGGAGAAGAAGCACCGGCUAACUACGUG